Molecule: long non-coding RNA, 1403 nt
Filed under: Monodelphis domestica (gray short-tailed opossum)
Lineage: Eukaryota; Metazoa; Chordata; Mammalia; Didelphimorphia; Didelphidae
Description: lncRNA (ENSMODG00000031135.2)
Source: RNAcentral
GAGUUCACAGUGGGGAGUCGGGACAAGAUGAUGCUCCGGAGGAGGGAGUGGCAACGGGCGGGGAUCACUGCUGGGAACCCCCCCCCCCCCACCCGUCGCUGUCACAGUCCAGAGUCACGAGUCAGAUGGGACUUUUUUUAUAAAGAUAUGGGUGCCAGUGAGACUGGAGAGCCAAGGCUACACUCUACAGAAAGUCUGAGCGCCGCCUCAUUGAUCAGGAAAUGAAUUACACUGAAAUACAAAGAACUGUGUGGAAGUCCAGGGUAAUAAAUAGCAGUUAUUAAUGGAUAUUUUGCCUAUUGUAAAGAGGAAUUCUUUAUUCCUUUUUUAAUUUAAUAGGGGACCUCUUACCAUAGAGAUGUGGAGGGAUAAACCAGCCCAUAGUGACAGGAAGGAGAAACCAGAGAGACAGGAAGAAGAAACCAUAGUGACAGGAAGUAAGGUAGAAAAAGGAUAUAAAAGGCUGUCAGUUGCUGACAGGUAGGGCUGGCCGUGGAGGGGAUGUUGGCUGCUGGGCACGAGUUGGUCACUGGGGAUUGGCUGCUGCUGGUCAAUGGACAGAAGUUCUGUUUUUCUAUUUUUAACCAAAUAAGGAAAAGGAUCAUUUACAAAAGGAAAAGCAUUUGCUCCAAGGGUGUUUUUGGCACCUAUCCCACUCUCCAGUACUUCAAAAUGCCUGUAGCCGUACCUCAGCAAUUUCUGACAAUCGGGGGAGAACCUAGUUUAGAAAUCAGAGCUCCACUCCAUUCCAACUCGGGCAACGUAUUACCUGGAUUCUCAUUCUCAUUCAAGGCACAUUUACCCAGAGCUUCACUAUCUAAUAACAUUUUUGCAUGAAGCUUCAUAGAAUAUAGAAUUAAAAUAUGUAAUCCUUGUUAAUCGUCUAAGCUGCCUUUAUUAAGUGCUGGGAGAUGUAGUAGCCCAGGAAUUGGAUGAUGUUCAGUAUCUAUCAAAGAAUGAAUAGAUUGUGCCGUCCCAGCAUUACUUUCCCAUUCUAAUACUUUACUUUUGGCUGAUGACUCCCCCUUCUCUUUGUCAUGAAUCAUCUGUUUUGGGGUUCAAGCUGUUGCUCUGCAUUAUAACACAGAAUUACACAUUUGUAAACUGAGAACGUUUGCUUACUGACACUUAAUAUAGAAUUGUAAUAUUUCUGUGAAUACUUUUUCCUUUAGUCCCUUCAAGGUCAGUCUGGUUCUAAACUCAGGGUACACCCAGCUUCUCCCUAAGGGUACGAAAGUGCGUUGGAAUACUUUGUCUUUGUAAAGGGUAAAAGGAUUAAGGAACGGACUGGCCAGCCUUGGUCCAUUUGAAAGAUUAAGAGGGCCCAAGGAGUCAUUUUGAACUCUCUUAAGCGUCAAGGUCCAGCCAUAUAGGAAAAGGUGCUGGCCUGUUUUGGUCUUGGC